GAUGAAGAACGCAGCGAAAUGCGAUAAGUAAUGUGAGUUGCAGAAUUCAGUGAAUCAUCGAAUCUUUGAACGCACAUUGCGCCCGCCAGUAUUCUGGCGGGCAUGCCUGUCCGAGCGUCAUUUCAACCAUCAAGCCCCGGGCUUGUGUUGGGGACCUGCGUCCGACGCAGGCCCUGAAAACCAGUGGCGGGCUCGCUGUCCACACCGAGCGUAGUAACUAACCUCGCUAUGGAGUGGCGCGGGCGCCUGCCGUAAAACCCCCAAUUUCACAAGGUUGACCUCGGAUCAGGUAGGAAUACCCGCUGAACUUAAGCAUAUCAAUAAGCGGAGGA
RNAcentral lists this unclassified non-coding RNA (332 nucleotides) under soil metagenome. RNAcentral describes it as "partial contains 5.8S ribosomal RNA, internal transcribed spacer 2, and large subunit ribosomal RNA". The stretch from base 1 to 120 matches the Rfam family "5.8S ribosomal RNA", at positions 35 to 154 of the family's 154-position model. The record is from RNAcentral.